This 640-nucleotide long non-coding RNA is filed under the name Capsicum annuum. RNAcentral's name for it is "long non-coding RNA (CANN_LNC003498)". The record is from RNAcentral. Lineage: Eukaryota; Viridiplantae; Streptophyta; Magnoliopsida; Solanales; Solanaceae.
UGCACAGGAGAGACCUAGGUUGAAUGUUGAGGUAAUCAAAGAUGAGAACAGCGAUGAUUCUGCUGAUAAAUUAUAUGUCUAUCGCUCUGUAGCAGGGCCUCGAAGGGAUGCCCCACCUUUUGUUGUAACUCUCUAGUACAAAGAAACAGGAAUUUUGGUAAGCUCCUUCCCUUGCUCUCUCUCUGUGUCCUAUACUCGCCAAAAUAGCAUGGAGAGGAAAGACGAGCAGCAUGAUGAUAAUGCAAAGUUUUGUUUUUAUCUGUAGGUGUGCACUGGGAUACUCUUUCUAUUUCAGCUGGGUUUAUCUGCUACAUGAUGUUCGUAAAGGUGGGACGAGAGAAAGUAAUUGGAUAAUCGACUUAAUUAAUACCUCUCCUUACGCUGCAUUUUCUAUGUUUUACUUGGAGAAGUUUGAGAUUUUCAAGGAAGAUCAACAGAAGGGAUGUUUGUGCUCUUGCUGAACUAAUGCAUUAUGAGAAAGAAACCAUGCAAAAAUUCUGUUACAGUUAGUGAGACCUUUGUGGCCAUUGCAAAUAAUCAUCACUCUAUCGGCAUUACCAGCUGCCACCAAUGACAAUACAUGGAGAUGCAGGGAGGGGAAAACUUGAACGAAUGAUCACAUGACGGAGUUGAGAAGCUG